RNAcentral lists this ribosomal RNA (122 nucleotides) under Transversotrema licinum. RNAcentral's name for it is "partial 5.8S ribosomal RNA". It matches the Rfam family "5.8S ribosomal RNA", at positions 33 to 154 of the family's 154-position model. Rfam says of the family: 5.8S ribosomal RNA (5.8S rRNA) is a component of the large subunit of the eukaryotic ribosome. The record is from RNAcentral. Lineage: Eukaryota; Metazoa; Platyhelminthes; Trematoda; Azygiida; Transversotrematidae.
UGUCGAUGAAGAGCGCAGCAAACUGUGUGAAUUAAUGUGAACUGCAACCUGCCAUGAACAUCGACAACUUGAUUGCACAUUGCGGCCAUGGGUUAGCCUGUGGCCACGUCUGUCCGAGAGUC